This 1390-nucleotide ribosomal RNA is filed under the name metagenome. Its description in RNAcentral is "bacterial SSU rRNA". It matches the Rfam family "Archaeal small subunit ribosomal RNA". The record is from RNAcentral.
GUCUGGAAGUGGCACACUGCUCAGUAACACGUAGCUAACCUACCCUUAGGACGUGGAUACCCCCGAGAAAUUGGUUUAAUCCGCGAUAGAUGUAAUGUCCUGGAAUGGUAUUACGUCUAAAGGUAUUUCAUACAUGUUUGAAAUAUGCCUAAGGAUGGGGCUGCGGCCGAUCAGGCAGUUGGUGAGGUAAUGGCUCACCAAACCUUUGACCGGUACGGGCCAUGAGAGUGGUAGCCCGGAGAUGGACACUGAGACAAGGGUCCAGGCCCUAAGGGGCGCAGCAACCGCGAAACCUCCACAAUGCACUCACGUGCGAUGGGGCUAUCUCGAGUGCCACCUGAUGAAGGUGGCUUUUUCCUUGGUCUUCAAAGCCUUGGGGAUAAGAGGGGGGCAAGACUGGUGUCAGCCGCCGCGGUAACACCAGCCCCUCGAGUGGUGGGGAUGAUUAUUUGGCCUAAAGCGUCCGUAGCCGGCCGAGCAAGUCUUCCGUUAAAUCCAGCGUCUCAAGCGUUGGACCGCGGGAGAUACUACACGGCUAGAGAGUGGGAGAGGUCAGCGGUAUUCUGGGGGUAGGGGCGAAAUCCUUUGAUCCCCGGAGGACCACCAGUGGCGAAGGCUGCUGACUAGAACACGUCUGACGGUCAGGGACGAAAGCUGGGGUAGCGAACCGGAUUAGAUACCCGGGUAGUCCCAGCCGUAAACGAUGCAUGCUAGGUGUUGGGUUGGCCACGAGCCACCCCAGUGCCGCAGGGAAGCCGUUAAGCAUGCCGCCUGGGAAGUACGAUCGCAAGAUUGAAAUUUAAAGGAAUUGGCGGGGGAGCACCACCAGGCGUGAAGCCUGCGGUUUAAUUGGAGUCAACGCCGGGAACCUUACCGGGAGCGACAGCAGAAUGAAGGCCAGAUUGAAGAUCUUGCCAGACGAGCUGAGAGGAGGUGCAUGGCCGUCGCCAGUUCGUGCCGUGAGGUGUUCUCUUAAGUGAGAUAACGAACGAGACCCGUGCCACAUGUUGCCACCAGUAUCUAAAGGAUAGCUGAGCACUCUUGUGGGACCGCAGCCGAUAAGGCUGAGGAAGGUACGGGCAACGGCAGGUCAGUAUGCCCCGAAUUUCCCGGGCCACACGCGGGCUGCAAUGGUACAGACAGAGGGCUGCCACCCCGAAAGGGGGAGCCAAUCCCUAAACUGUACCUCAGUUGGGAUCGAGGGUUGCAACCCACCCUCGUGAACAUGGAAUGCCUAGUAACCGCCAGUCAUCAUCUGGCGGUGAAUACGUCCCUGCUCCUUGCACACACUGCCCGUCGAACCACCCGAAUGAGGUUUGGGUGAGGAAUGGUCGAAUGUUGGCCGUUUCGAACCUGGGCCUCGUAAGGAGGGUUAAGUCGUAACAAGGUG